Long non-coding RNA from Passer domesticus (house sparrow), 1523 nucleotides. RefSeq lists it as uncharacterized. The record is from RefSeq and is a predicted model, not a curated record. NCBI's taxonomy places the organism in Eukaryota, Metazoa, Chordata, Aves, Passeriformes, Passeridae. The transcript has 3 exons.
GGGGUCACUCUUCCUUCUGGGAAGGAAGAUAGCUGAUCCUCCUCUGGGUUAAGAGAUGCAGAAAAGGCUUGGCUUGUAGCUGUGGCCUCCCAAACGUGGAAGAAGACUAUGAGAAGCCCAAAGUGUUUGCAGAUGGCAGCCCAGGGCCAGGUGGAGGGGGCUGCACUGGGGGUGAUGAAGAACACCUCCCUGUUAAGCAGAGUGGCAGCUGGUGCAGAACAGGUGUGGCAGGUGUGGCACACACACAGGGGCAGAGCUGCAGUGUAACACACUAAGCCACAUGGCUCUGUUGGACAGCAGGAGCAGGAAAAUUAAAUGGCUUGGGGAGUACCCCACUGGAAAUGUCAUAUGAGUGAUUACCUGUGCACCUAAAAGGAGAAUAUCCUAAUAUAAAAUGUGGUAUGUAUCAACCUCAACUUAAAAUGCUUCCUAGCUAUGGGAUCUCAAAAAAUCGCCACAAACUCAAGCCUUGAGUUUAAUUUCAUUUAGAAAUUAAAAUUUUGAUUUUUUUUUUCUUACACUGGGCUGGGUUUGAAAAGAAACUAGAAAAAGGAACUACCACAAAAGAACUUGCAGAAGACCCCAACAUUUCUCCUUAUUUUAUAUUUUACUUCAAUGGAACUUUAAGUGUAAGAAGACUGGCCUGGUCCAGAUUUGAUCAUUCUUUUCCAAAGCCUGGGAGACUUGCAGGAGUGCCUGUGCUUUACAUUCUGCUUCAUGGGAAUGUUAUUUUGAUUUUUAUUUUACUAGUAUUUAAAAGCACUCACUAGAAGUUCCUGCAGCUGUAUGGCCACAUAAUAACAGACAGCCUCUAAUUCCUCAUGCACGGCACUCAGCAUGGUAUAAUCAGAAAAAAGGCCCCAAAUCUGUUCCUGCAUUCUAAUAAGUGUGUGUGCCACUUUGCAGGAGAUCAGAAUCCUGUCCAAAUUCUGCAAAGUCUAACAGAACAACAGUUGCCAAAUGACAAAACCUAUCAGAAGACACAGAGUAAAAAGGCACAUCUUUGUUUCUGAUCCUCACAGUGCCAGCCAGUACUGGCAAGAGAAGCAUCAAGGUUUCCAAAAUAAAGCCAGUUAACCACGCCUUGUUUUCUGCAGGUAAAAUGCUGGCAUUUUUCAUCUGAGCACAACCUAUAAUGUUCCAGAUUCUGGAUGGGAGGAACAAGACUCUGAUCCACUAUCCACUGGAGUACAAGCUGGUCUUUUGGGAACUGCUAGAAGAUUCCAAACAGAACUGUUUGUGCAGAAUUGGAAUGAACUGCUGUCCAAGACAUGGCUAUUAAUUGGAGCAUUGCUGGUGCUUCAGUAUUAUAAAACAAAUACACUAAAAUAAUUAAUUGAUGUCAUUAAACUGCCGUGGUGUUGAACAUGUAUUGCACUCAAACAUACUGAAUGCUGACAAUUUAUUAUUUCAGCUUUUAUGACAACACCUCUGUGGUAAUAUUUCUGCAAAAUCUGUAAGAUGUAGGAAGGGGAAGUCUGCACACUAUAAAGUGCCACAGAACUGAAGACCUGUCAAAACAA